Molecule: ribosomal RNA, 1438 nt
Filed under: uncultured organism
Description: SSU rRNA
Rfam family: Bacterial small subunit ribosomal RNA
Source: RNAcentral
GCUAGCGACAGGCUUAACACAUGCAAGUCGAGGGGCAGCACAGGUAGCAAUACCGGGUGGCGACCGGCGCACGGGUGAGUAACGCGUAUGCAACUUGCCUAUCAGAGGGGGAUAACCCGGCGAAAGUCGGACUAAUACCGCAUGAAGCAGGGAUCCCGCAUGGGAAUAUUUGCUAAAGAUUCAUCGCUGAUAGAUAGGCAUGCGUUCCAUUAGGCAGUUGGCGGGGUAACGGCCCACCAAACCGACGAUGGAUAGGGGUUCUGAGAGGAAGGUCCCCCACAUUGGUACUGAGACACGGACCAAACUCCUACGGGAGGCAGCAGUGAGGAAUAUUGGUCAAUGGCCGAGAGGCUGAACCAGCCAAGUCGCGUGAGGGAUGAAGGUUCUAUGGAUCGUAAACCUCUUUUAUAAGGGAAUAAAGUGCGGGACGUGUCCCGUUUUGUAUGUACCUUAUGAAUAAGGAUCGGCUAACUCCGUGCCAGCAGCCGCGGUAAUACGGAGGAUCCGAGCGUUAUCCGGAUUUAUUGGGUUUAAAGGGUGCGUAGGCGGCCUUUUAAGUCAGCGGUGAAAGUCUGUGGCUCAACCAUAGAAUUGCCGUUGAAACUGGGGGGCUUGAGUAUGUUUGAGGCAGGCGGAAUGCGUGGUGUAGCGGUGAAAUGCAUAGAUAUCACGCAGAACCCCGAUUGCGAAGGCAGCCUGCCAAGCCAUUACUGACGCUGAUGCACGAAAGCGUGGGGAUCAAACAGGAUUAGAUACCCUGGUAGUCCACGCAGUAAACGAUGAUCACUAGCUGUUUGCGAUACACUGUAAGCGGCACAGCGAAAGCGUUAAGUGAUCCACCUGGGGAGUACGCCGGCAACGGUGAAACUCAAAGGAAUUGACGGGGGCCCGCACAAGCGGAGUAACAUGUGGUUUAAUUCGAUGAUACGCGAGGAACCUUACCCGGGUUUGAACGCAUUCGGACCGAGGUGGAAACACCUUUUCUAGCAAUAGCCGUUUGCGAGGUGCUGCAUGGUUGUCGUCAGCUCGUGCCGUGAGGUGUCGGCUUAAGUGCCAUAACGAGCGCAACCCUUGCCACUAGUUACUAACAGGUAAAGCUGAGGACUCUGGUGGGACUGCCAGCGUAAGCUGCGAGGAAGGCGGGGAUGACGUCAAAUCAGCACGGCCCUUACAUCCGGGGCGACACACGUGUUACAAUGGCGUGGACAAAGGGAGGCCACCUGGCGACAGGGAGCGAAUCCCCAAACCACGUCUCAGUUCGGAUCGGAGUCUGCAACCCGACUCCGUGAAGCUGGAUUCGCUAGUAAUCGCGCAUCAGCCAUGGCGCGGUGAAUACGUUCCCGGGCCUUGUACACACCGCCCGUCAAGCCAUGGGAGCCGGGGGUACCUGAAGUCCGUAACCGAAAGGAUCGGCCUAGGGUAAAACUGGUGACUGGGG